This 103-nucleotide ribosomal RNA is filed under the name Isospora sp. JRB-2015. Its description in RNAcentral is "small subunit ribosomal RNA". Lineage: Eukaryota; Apicomplexa; Conoidasida; Eucoccidiorida; Eimeriidae. The record is from RNAcentral.
AAUGACAGUUUCCGCAGCUGUAGAUGGAUGCUUUGGUAGUAUAACCUCUGGUUAUUGUUUCGGAAAGAAACUACCUAUAUGAAGAUGCUCUAAACGCCAAAAA